ACUAUGACUCUCUUAUACCAAAGAGCCACCACUGCCUUUGGAGGGUCACAAUAGCGGCGCGAAAGCGAAUGAUAUAACCGCUAGUGCGUCCGUCGCCAGCCCCCCUGUUUGUGGAUCACAUAAUGCUGUGGACGGACACGCGACACCAUCAAAUUGCGGGGACACCCUGAGAGCCUUGUCUACCAAGUCGCCUGCGGAAACGCACUGGCGAUGGCCGAGUUAAUCGCCCUGGGUACGGUAACAACGACAAGGAUGCAUGGGCAAUCCGCAGCCAAGUCCUACGUCGGACCGCGCACGUUCGAUAUGGAUGCUGUUCAUCGACUAAAUGGUGGUGGGUGAUCGCGCGCGUAUGCGAUUGCUUAAGAUAUAGUCAGGCCCUGGCGAGAGCCAGCUGCAUGUAUAAGAGGGGGACGCCGGGGGGACGUUCGACUCGAAGCUUGCAGGAGGGCGCUGUUUACUUGUCGUAGCAGCGUCUUUGGAAGGCGCUUCAGUAUUUAGGAAUGAAGCCGUCAGUUAAGCGCCAGAAUAAAAGAUGUUGGGGUCGUUGAACAUGUCAGUUGGCAGAAUGUGGUCCAACUCAUCGUCUCCUAAGGUCGAAGGACAUGUUCCGAUGUCGUCGUCCUGAAUGGGAUUGCCGAUUACAGUACCGUUGAGCGCAUUGUUCAGGAUAUCAGUGGCUUUGUUGCCGAUGUUGUUCUUGAUCAUCCGCACGCCACGUCCUGCACGAAUGCAUCGUGGUUUGUGGACGCGCACGUAGCUUUGCCCAGGCAGAAGUUGCGGCUCUUGUUAACGUCGAGUGAUUCGUACACGAUGUGGACGAGGCGAACACAACAACGGUCGUGAUGGCAUAGAUGAGGUGAGGCUACUGGAUGAUCGAACAGGAUCAGUUGGGACGCCAGAGUUAACAUACUGCUGGAGUACUAACGGCACGUUCGUCGCCAUGACUCUGACCCGCUGUGAUAGACCAAGCAGUUUAGUGAUAUCGAACUGUGGGCGACCAUUGCUGUUGUUGGAGAAACCCACUAUGGGAUUAUCCACAUAGAGGCAUUCGAUUGCUAAAUAAGUGGUGGGCUCACCAGAAGAGGAUAUGCUCUCUGGGACCCAGUAGUGCUUGGUCACAGCACUUUGGAGCCUCGCUGUAAACGUCCGCCAAGUAUAGUUCGCCUGGCGACGACGACGUUGCACGAGGUCCGACAUACAAACGCACCCAACGCAGCGCUUUCUGACGACGGACUCCGCGACACUGAUCCAACGCGCACACACACUG
Molecule: non-coding RNA, 1267 nt
Filed under: Plasmodiophora brassicae
Lineage: Eukaryota; Endomyxa; Phytomyxea; Plasmodiophorida; Plasmodiophoridae
Description: partial miscellaneous RNA
Rfam family: Group I catalytic intron (bases 97-393)
Source: RNAcentral